This 22-nucleotide microRNA is filed under the name Ornithorhynchus anatinus (platypus). RNAcentral's name for it is "oan-miR-1361-5p". Lineage: Eukaryota; Metazoa; Chordata; Mammalia; Monotremata; Ornithorhynchidae. The record is from miRBase by way of RNAcentral.
UGUGGUUGCCCAAUUAGUCCCU